This 481-nucleotide ribosomal RNA is filed under the name uncultured bacterium. RNAcentral's name for it is "bacterial SSU rRNA". It matches the Rfam family "Bacterial small subunit ribosomal RNA", at positions 501 to 985 of the family's 1533-position model. The record is from RNAcentral.
CUACGUGCCAGCAGCCGCGGUAAUACGGAGGAUGCGAGCGUUAUCCGGAUUUAUUGGGUUUAAAGGGUGCGUAGGCGGCCUGUUAAGUCAGCGGUGAAAUCUAGGAGCUUAACUCCUAAAUUGCCAUUGAUACUGGCGGGCUUGAGUGUAGAUGAGGUAGGCGGAAUGCGUGGUGUAGCGGUGGAAUGCAUAGAUAUCACGCAGAACUCCGAUUGCGAAGGCAGCUGACGGGAGCGCAACUGACGCUGAAGCUCGAAGGUGCGGGUAUCGAACAGGAUUAGAUACCCUGGUAGUCCGCACAGUAAACGAUGGAUGCCCGCUGUUGGUACCUGGUAUCAGCGGCUAAGCGAAAGCAUUAAGCAUCCCACCUGGGGAGUACGCCGGCAACGGUGAAACUCAAAGGAAUUGACGGGGGCCCGCACAAGCGGAGGAACAUGUGGUUUAAUUCGAUGAUACGCGAGGAACCUUACCCGGGCUUGAA